GAGUUUGAUCCUGGCUCAGAACGAACGCUGGCGGCAGGCUUAACACAUGCAAGUCGAACGCCCCGCAAGGGGAGUGGCAGACGGGUGAGUAACGCGUGGGAAUCUACCCAGAACUUCGGAACAACUGAGGGAAACUUCAGCUAAUACCGGAUACGCCCUACGGGGGAAAGAUUUAUCGGUUCUGGAUGAGCCCGCGUUGGAUUAGUUAGUUGGUGAGGUAAUGGCUCACCAAGGCGACGAUCCAUAGCUGGUCUGAGAGGAUGAUCAGCCACACUGGGACUGAGACACGGCCCAGACUCCUACGGGAGGCAGCAGUGGGGAAUAUUGGACAAUGGGCGAAAGCCUGAUCCAGCCAUGCCGCGUGAGUGAUGAAGGCCGUAGGGUUGUAAAGCUCUUUCAGUAGGGAAGAUAAUGACGGUACCUACAGAAGAAGCCCCGGCUAACUUCGUG
RNAcentral lists this ribosomal RNA (450 nucleotides) under uncultured Hyphomicrobiaceae bacterium. RNAcentral's name for it is "bacterial SSU rRNA". It matches the Rfam family "Bacterial small subunit ribosomal RNA", at positions 9 to 507 of the family's 1533-position model. The record is from RNAcentral. Lineage: Bacteria; Pseudomonadati; Pseudomonadota; Alphaproteobacteria; Hyphomicrobiales; Hyphomicrobiaceae.